AGGGGUAUAGGAAGCUUGCUUUCUAGAGACCGGCGCACGGGUGCGUAACGCGUAUGCAAUCUACCUUUUGCAGAGGGAUAGCCCAGAGAAAUUUGGAUUAAUACCUCAUAGUAUAUAUGAAUGGCAUCAUUUAUAUAUUAAAGUCACAACGGCAAAAGAUGAGCAUGCGUCCCAUUAGCUAGAUGGUAAGGUAACGGCUUACCAUGGCUACGAUGGGUAGGGGUCCUGAGAGGGAGAUCCCCCACACUGGUACUGAGACACGGACCAGACUCCUACGGGAGGCAGCAGUGAGGAAUAUUGGACAAUGGGCGCAAGCCUGAUCCAGCCAUGCCGCGUGCAGGAUGACGGUCCUAUGGAUUGUAAACUGCUUUUGUACGGGAAGAAACCCUCCUACGUGUAGGAGCUUGACGGUACCGUAAGAAUAAGGAUCGGCUAACUCCGUGCCAGCAGCCGCGGUAAUACGGAGGAUCCAAGCGUUAUCCGGAAUCAUUGGGUUUAAAGGGUCCGUAGGCGGUUUAGUAAGUCAGUGGUGAAAGCCCAUCGCUCAACGGUGGAACGGCCAUUGAUACUGCUAGACUUGAAUUAUUAGGAAGUAACUAGAAUAUGUAGUGUAGCGGUGAAAUGCUUAGAGAUUACAUGGAAUACCAAUUGCGAAGGCAGGUUACUACUAAUGGAUUGACGCUGAUGGACGAAAGCGUGGGUAGCGAACAGGAUUAGAUACCCUGGUAGUCCACGCCGUAAACGAUGGAUACUAGCUGUUGGGCGCAAGUUCAGUGGCUAAGCGAAAGUGAUA
RNAcentral lists this ribosomal RNA (793 nucleotides) under uncultured Bacteroidota bacterium. RNAcentral describes it as "bacterial SSU rRNA". It matches the Rfam family "Bacterial small subunit ribosomal RNA", at positions 65 to 862 of the family's 1533-position model. Lineage: Bacteria; Pseudomonadati; Bacteroidota. The record is from RNAcentral.